UUGAGACAGCUCAUUCAAGCAACUUAAUAGCUCACUUAAAAACCCUAGAAAUAAAGAACCAGACACACCAAAAAGGAGUAGAUGUAUGGAAAUAAUCAAACUCAGGGCUGAAAUCAAUCAAUUAGAAACAAAUAAAACAAUUCAAAGAAUCAAUUAAACCAAGAGCUGGUUCUUUGAGAAAAUCAAUAAGACAGACAAACCAUUAGCCAAGCUAACUAAAAGUCAGAGAGACACCAUCCAAAUCCACAAAAUCAAAAAUGAAAAGAGGGACAAAGCUGCAGACACUGAGGAAAUCCAAACAAUCAUAAGUACUUACUUCAAAAGUCUGUAUAUCACAAAAUUUGAAAAUCUAAAUGAAAUGAACAAUUUUCUUGAUCGAUUUGACUUACCACAGCUGAAUCAGGACAGGUUAAUCAAUUAAAUACUCCCAAGGAAAUAGAAGUGGACAUAGAAAACCUCCCAUCCAAAAAAAUUCCAGGACCAAAUGGUUUCAGCGCAGAAUUCUACCAGACCUUCAAGAAAGAGCUAACUCCAGCUCUCUUUAAACUAUUCCACAAAACAGAAGAAACAUUACCAAACUCAUUCUAUGAAGCCACAGUCACCUUGGUACCUAAACCUUACAAGGAACCAACAGAGAAUGAGAAUUUCAAGCCAAUCUCCCUUAUUAACAUUGAUGCUAAAAUACUCAACAAAAUAUUUGCAAACCGAAUCCAAGAACACAUCAAAGAUAUCAUCCAAUAUGACCAAGUAAGCUUCAUCCCAGGUAUGCAGGGGUGGUUCAAUAUAUGGAAAUCCAUCAAUAUAAUCCACCAUAUACACAAACUGAAAGAAAAAAAAACACAUGAUAGUCUCCCUAAAUGCUGAAAAAGCAUUUGACAAAAUCCAACAUCCAUUCAUGUUUAAAGUAUUGGAGAGAUCAGGGAUAUAAGGCACAUAUCUAAACAUAGUAAAGGCGAUAUAUAGCAAGCCUAUAGCCAACAUCAAACUAAACAGAGAAAAACGUAAAGAAAUCCCACUGAAAUCAGGCUCAAGACAAGGCUGCCCACUCUCUACAAAAUUCUUCAACAUAGCUCUGGAAGUCCUUGCUGCAGCAAUAAGACAGUUGACGGAGAUCAAGGGAUACAAUUUGGAAAGGAAGAAGUCAAAUUAUCACUAUUUGCAGAUGAUAUGAUAGUAUACAUGAGUGACCCCAAAAAUUUUACUAGGGAACUCCUACAGCUGAGAAACACCUUCAGCAAAGUGGCCAGAAACAAAUUUAACUGAAAAGAAUCAGUAGGCCUCCUGUAUACAAAAGACAAAAGGGCUGAGAAAGAAAUUAGGGAAACAACACCCUUCACAAUAGCCACAAAUGACAUAAAGUACCUUGGUGUAACCGUAACCAAGCUAGUCAAAGACUAGUAUGGAAAAACAAAACAAAACAAAACAAAACAAAAAAAAACUUUCAAGUCUCUGAAGAAAGAAAUAGAACAUAUUAGAAGAUGCCCAUGCUCAUGGCUUGGCAGGAUUUACAUCCUCAAAAUGGCCAUCUUACCAAAACCAAUCUAUAGAUUCAAUGAAAUCCCCAUCAAAUUACCAACACAAUUCUUUACAGAACUGGAAAGAAAAAAUUCUUAACAUCAUUUGGAAUAACAAGGAACUAAGAAUUGCUAAAACAAUCCUCUACAAUAAAAGAUCUUCUCUACUCUCUCCAUCCCUGCUCUAAGCUGUACUAUAGAGCAACAGUACUAAAAACUGCAUGGUACUGGCAUAGAAACAAAAUGGUUGAUAAAUGGAACCAAAUAGAAGACCCAGAAAUAAACCCACAAACCUAUGGACACCUGAUCUUUGACAAAGAUGUGAACACCAUACAAUGGAAAUAAAGAUAACAUCUUCAACAAAUGGUGCUGGACUAACUGGAUGUCUACAUGUAGAAAAAUGCAAAUAGAUCCAUACUUAACACCCUGCACAAGACUAAAGUUCAAAUGGAUCAAAUUCUUCAACAUAAAACCAGACACACUAAAUUGGUUAGAAGAAAAAUUGGGGAAGACCCUAGAACUCAUUGGUACAGGAGAGAACUUACUGAACAGAAAAUCAAUAGCUCUAAGAGAAACAAUCAGUAAAUGGGACAUCAUGAAACUGAAAAUCUUUUGUAAAGCAAAUGUCAGCAUCAUCAAAGCAAAAUGAAUGCCUACAGAUUGGAAAAGAAUGUUCACCAACCCUUUAUCUGACAGAGGGCUAAUAUCCAGUAUAUAUAAAGAACUAAAGAAGCUGAGAAGCAAUAAAAAAAAAGUAAUCCAAUUAAAAAAUGGGGAUCAGAGCUAAACAGAGGAUUCUCUGUAGAGGAAAAACUCAAGUGACAACACAUGCUGGAAAGGUUGUUGAGAAAGUGUAACCCUCCUCCAUUGAUGGUGGGAUUUUCCUAAACUAGUACAAUCUCUUCGGAAGUCAAUCUGGCACUUUCUCAAACAAUUACGAAUAGUGCUUCCUCAAUACCCAGCUAUACCACUGCUGGGUAUAUAUCCAAAAUUUGCUCAAGUACACAACAAGGACCUUUGCUCAUCCAUGUUUGUAGCAGCUUUAUUUGUAAUAGUUAGAACCUGGAAACAACCCAGAUGUUCAUCAAUGGAGGAAUGGAUACAGAAAUUGUGGUAUUUUUACACAAUGGAAUACUACUCAGCAAUCAAAAAGGAGGAAAUCAUCAAAUUUGCAGGCAAAUGGUGGGAUCUAGAAAAGAUCAUUCUGAGUGAAAUAUCCCAGAUGGAGAAAGACAAACACGAUGUGGAGGAAAAAAGACCUGAAGAAAAGAUGGCCCCACAUAACUUCAUUGUUCCACAAGGGUUCUGUGACCCAACAUGACAAAAUGAGCACUGCCCAGGCAUUGGAGAAGCAAGGAAAAAUAUUCGGAAAAAAAUGGUUGCUAUUUGCAAGGAUGGCAUUCUGCCCAGUGAAAUUGUGGUGGGUCUCACAAGGUUCUUUUCUGGCUGUCCUAAGGAUAAGAGCUGCUUCUUAAAUACCCCCUCCCUAGCCUUCAAUUCUGUCCUCAAGUUGAGAAACUAUUGUGAUUCAAAGGGAUGGCUUCAGAAUAGGUAGGUAAAAGAGGGCUAUUCACCUAAAACAGGUAUUGGGAAUGGUGGGUAUAUUCACUUUACUAUGGUGGAAAACAUGAUAAGAAAAUGUUUCCUGGGGUUUCAAUUAUCAUUAAGGCGGUAUGAGAACAAGAUAUGGGGGCAGCCAAGCAGUUCAAGGUCCUCUUCAUCCAUGCCAGCUUUUGCAUUGCACCUGUGAGCAGGGUUGGUAUGGUUCAUAAAAAGCAAAGAGUGACAUGUGCUGUAGAUGGAAUGACAGGUUCUUUCCUUUCAUCCACUCAGGACAUGCUGUCUGUCAUCAAGCAAAAAGAGCCAAACAUUGGGGGUGUUUUUAUAUUAUCAGCAAACAUUACUUCUUGCCAUGUUUUGAAAGACAAACUAGACUGUGGGUAGCAUGUAAAUCUAAACAACGAAGGUGUUCAUCAUGUCACUUCUGUCCUAAAGGUAGGGAGAUUCCUAGUGUCAUCUAUUCUGAAGAUUCCUCUAGAGCUCUGUUAAGUAGUUUCUUCAUAAUGCAUUUCCUGAGUGACAGUAGAUACCACUGUUAGAAAUCUGGUAACCUCAAAGGUUCCCCUGAUAUUCACAACAGAAGGAAUAAGGAUUCCAGCACAAAUCAUCCAUCAUAAACUGUAAUGUAAUGAAGACUAUUCCAUCCUCCUCAUGGGACACAUGAGCACUCAUGGGACACAUUGCUACACCCACUCCAGCAUCUUCAGUGUAGCAUAUAAAUAGAUUUUGCUACUACGGGAGAGAUACGCUUUCUUUGGAAAUAGGCUCCCUGGAGGUCCCUAGCAAGUGUCUCCCAGACAACCUAAGCUAUAAAGGGGCAUUCUGAGAUUCCUACACUUUCUUGGUUGUGGUUGUGGGGUUGGAUUAAUGAGUCUUUUGAUCUUUCUCUAUAAUUCUUGGAACAGCACAAUUAAUUAUUCAAGGAAACAUAUUUUUGAUAGAUUACUAAAAGCUUUAACAAGAACAGAAUGGAAGAAAAAUUAUUUUAGAAGUACUGAAUGAGAUUUAGUAUUAAAAACAUUACAAGAAUAGUGAAAAAUAAUCUCCUUCUUAGGUAAAGAUAGCAUGAGAAAGUACAGCUGGCUAGAGCAUGCCUCCCUUUGGCCUCCUGUUUUUAAGGAAGAUUAUAAAUCUUUAGCAAGGCAUAAUGGAGAAUAGUUAACAAAGGUGUAUUUAGACUUUAAUGCAGAGAAAGAUUUUGGCAGAUAUCUGACUUAACUCCUGACUUUCCUCUUCACUGGUUAGCAAUAAUGAAACUGCAGUGUGACGUGUUUUUUUUUUUUUUUUUUUUUUUUUUUUUUUGUCCCUUGUUUGCUUUGAUCAGAAAGUCAAAAAGUUCUCAGGCCAAGAUUUCUUGUGGGCACUGCUUUAUGUUUGGUGUUUGAGUUAAAAUGUAAACUUUGUAUUCUUGGUAAAAAUCUAACUGUUCUGGGAAGCAUGCCAACUUUAAGGUGUUUCCUUAUGUAAUUACUAUAAAAUUAUUAGCCUGACUUCAGUAAAAUCGCAGCAGAAUCAAA
Meriones unguiculatus (Mongolian gerbil) is the source of this 4591-nucleotide long non-coding RNA. RefSeq lists it as uncharacterized. The transcript has 2 exons. Lineage: Eukaryota; Metazoa; Chordata; Mammalia; Rodentia; Muridae. The record is from RefSeq and is a predicted model, not a curated record.